GGCGGCGAGCCCGGCCCUCUGGCGUCUGACUUCGGCCCGCCAGACCGCUCCUGACCCCUCCCUGGAGGAACUAGGAACUCAUUCUCCCGACUCCAGAAGGACAUGUCUAAAGCUUUACCAGCCUCAGAUACCACACAGCGAGAGUCUCCUGCAUUGGCUACAAUCAACUGUUUUCCUCGUAUCAGAGCCACCACUGCAGUUGUACCACUGUCAGAGCCAGGCUUAGGAAGAAAAAUGGACAAAAAUGGAUGUGAAGAUGAGACAGACUCUGAAAGGCCAGAACUAGAUCUAUUUGUUAUAGUAUCAACAAAGGAAGAGUUUGGUUUGCUGGCGUGGAACGUAUGUCCAGUUCUAUGUUUGUACACAUUUAAGUAAGAUUCAAUUAAAAUCAUUUUAGUGAGUACUAUAGUUCCACCAUAAGUAUUGAUUCCCUUAACAAAAACAAAACCAAAAAACCACGAAAGAAGUCCAAGAUAUAUUGUUAAAUAAAGCAAAGUGCAAAACGAUGUAUAUAGUAAGCUGCUUUUUGUGUAAGUAAGAAAGGGAUACAGGAAUAGAUUUGUCUUUUCAUCUACAGGGAUACACAAAAAAACAAAAGUGGUUAAGGCAGGGCAUAAGGGUACAGACAAUGAGAAGCAGCAGCAUGGGAAUGUUUAACUUUUUCAAAAGUAAAUGUUUUUUAAAAGACUCAAUUUAUUAGUAACAUGUGAGAAGCUGACCCAACUAAUUCCACUUUUUUGGUAGGUGAGGGAGAAACAAUCUUCCUGUCCACUCCUUCCAGUGGAACAAGAGGAUCAAAUGGGUCUUUUCCUGUCCUGCAAUGCCACUCCAGAUCACAGCUGUACUCUCUCUUUUGUACCCACAUCCUCUAUUCAAACCCUCUUUUUGACUUCCUCUUUUGCUCCUCACAAGAGCGAGCAAUUUUGAAGCAGAAGGCUCUAGUCCCAGUGAGCAUAUGAAAAAAAUAUAUAGCCUCAUUAGUAAUCAAAAAAUAAACAUUAAAACAGAAAUAUUCUU
Non-coding RNA from Microcebus murinus (gray mouse lemur), 1017 nucleotides. The record is from RefSeq and is a predicted model, not a curated record. NCBI's taxonomy places the organism in Eukaryota, Metazoa, Chordata, Mammalia, Primates, Cheirogaleidae.